CCUACGGGAGGCAGCAGUGAGGAAUAUUGGUCAAUGGACGAGAGUCUGAACCAGCCAAGUAGCGUGAAGGAUGACUGCCCUAUGGGUUGUAAACUUCUUUUAUAUGGGAAUAAAACGUUCCACGUGUGGGAUUUUGUAUGUACCAUAUGAAUAAGGAUCGGCUAACUCCGUGCCAGCAGCCGCGGUAAUACGGAGGAUCCGAGCGUUAUCCGGGUUUAUUGGGUUUAAAGGGAGCGUAGGUGGAGUGUUAAGUCAGUUGUGAAAGUUUGCGGCUCAACCGUAAAAUUGCAGUUGAAACUGGCAGUCUUGAGUACAGUAGAGGUGGGCGGAAUUCGUGGUGUAGCGGUGAAAUGCUUAGAUAUCACGAAGAACUCCGAUUGCGAAGGCAGUUCACUGGACUGCAACUGACACUGAGGCUCGAAAGUGUGGGUAUCAAACAGGAUUAGAUACCCCUGUAGUC
This 460-nucleotide ribosomal RNA is filed under the name uncultured bacterium. RNAcentral describes it as "partial 16S ribosomal RNA". It matches the Rfam family "Bacterial small subunit ribosomal RNA", at positions 338 to 795 of the family's 1533-position model. The record is from RNAcentral.